Non-coding RNA from Physcomitrium patens, 1324 nucleotides. The record is from RefSeq and is a predicted model, not a curated record. NCBI's taxonomy places the organism in Eukaryota, Viridiplantae, Streptophyta, Bryopsida, Funariales, Funariaceae.
GCCUGCUUUUCCACCCGAGAUUGCUGCGCAACAUCGCAAUUAGGGUUUUCUGACAGUGUGCAUCUCAAGACCAACCCACAGCCCACAGCUCCGCGGCACUCGCGCUGAUAGGACGAGGAGGAGGAGAUGCGUUGAAUCCGCUUGUCCUUGUGAGGUUCAUGGAAUUGUGACCUUUUCCCGAAAGCUUCCAGCGACCUGGGAAGGGUGGUUGACGAUCUGCACAGAGGACUUUCGCUACUAUUUUGGAGUCGGGCCGAGGGUGGUGGUGGGGAGAUUGGAUCGAUUGGGUCGAAAUGCCAAAUUUCAAUCAUGCUAGUCGGCAUUGGGAAAGCUGCGGGGCAGAGGAGUAGGGCCAGCCUCGCACGAAGCUGGGAAGAAUCUGUGUGAUGGGCGGAAGAAUCGCGUGAAUUCUGCGGAGAAAGCUCGAUUGCUGAGUCUUCGGAGUUUUUUUAAUCUCAUCUUCACGUUAUCUUCCUCCCUGUCGCUUUUCUGGGGAUUUGUGAUUCGGGUAACUGGUUUGUGUACGUUACGAAACCCUAAAUCCCUCUUUCUGAUUCCGUUCUUUUGAUGUGUCGUCAAACUCCACUUGUUGAUCACUGUUGUUACUCUAUUCACUACCACCGAUUUACUUCAAUUUGUCUCACGGCUUCACAUGAAGCUAAGUUUGAAAGAUGUCGGAUCAUGUCGUUUGGUUGUUUUAGGAGACAAAUAAUCCUCGGACUAUGGCAUUUUUACUCAUCUACGGAUCAAAACCCCGAGAAUGGUGGAUCUUAUUGAUUCUCAUUGUAUCAAUGACAAUUAUGAACAUAGUCAAAGAAUAUUGAUAUCCAGUUAUAUUGAGACUCAAUUUUCUGCAUUUUAACUUAAGAAUUCAAAAAAAAUCUGAUAUGUAACUUUUGUGUAAAAACAAUAUGUAAAUUUUGCCAAACAAUUGGUGUGGGAGAUUAAGAAUAGAUUUAAGUAUAGAGAAUAUAUAUAUAUAUAUAUAUAGAGAGAGAGAGAGAGAGAGAGAGAGAGAGAGAUAAGGAGUUAUUAAAGCCACAUCUAAUUUUGUUAAAGUUACACCUCCCCUUGUCAUCUCAUGAUUAGUUCCAUCUAUCCUAGUCAAUGUCCUUUGAUCCAUGUCUCCAAUCUUCAAAUUUUUUUUUUUCCUAUCCCCUCCAUAUCUUGUCCAUUGUUGCCAACCUCUCAACCAAUCCUUUGUUUUCAAUCCCUCCAUCUCUUAUUCUCAACCCUCCAUCUCUAGCCUCCUAUUCUUGUAUGGAUCUUUGUUAGAGUCUUUUCAACCUCAUAUAAUCAAAACAGAUGUUGGUUGACAGAUAAA